RNAcentral lists this ribosomal RNA (507 nucleotides) under uncultured bacterium. Its description in RNAcentral is "bacterial SSU rRNA". It matches the Rfam family "Bacterial small subunit ribosomal RNA", at positions 25 to 518 of the family's 1533-position model. The record is from RNAcentral.
CAGGACGAACGCUGGCGGCGUGCCUAACACAUGCAAGUCGAGCGGGGACAUGCGACGGAGUCAAAGUUUCGGAUGGAGACAAAGAUGUAUGUUCUAGCGGCGGACGGGUGAGUAACGCGUGAGCAACCUGUCCCUUACAGGGGGAUAACACAGCGAAAGUUGUACUAAUACCGCAUAAGACCACGGGAGGACAUCCUUCAGGGGUCAAAGGAGCAAUCCGGUAAGGGGUGGGCUCGCGUCCGAUUAGAUAGUUGGUGAGGUAACGGCCCACCAAGUCGACGAUCGGUAGCCGACCUGAGAGGGUGAUCGGCCACAUUGGGACUGAGACACGGCCCAAACUCCUACGGGAGGCAGCAGUGGGGAAUAUUGGGCAAUGGGGGGAAACCCCUGACCCAGCAACGCCGCGUGAGGGAAGAAGGUUUUCGGAUCGUAAACCUCUGUCCUUGGUGAAGAGGAAGAGACGGUAGCCAAGGAGGAAGCCCCGGCUAACUACGUGCCAGCCGCAGC